UGGGGAAUUUUGGACAAUGGGCGAAAGCCUGAUCCAGCAAUGCCGCGUGUGUGAAGAAGGCCUUCGGGUUGUAAAGCACUUUUGUCCGGAAAGAAAUCCUUGGCUCUAAUACAGUCGGGGGAUGACGGUACCGGAAGAAUAAGCACCGGCUAACUACGUGCCAGCAGCCGCGGUAAUACGUAGGGUGCAAGCGUUAAUCGGAAUUACUGGGCGUAAAGCGUGCGCAGGCGGUUUGCUAAGACCGACGUGAAAUCCCCGGGCUCAACCUGGGAACUGCAUUGGUGACUGGCAGGCUAGAGUAUGGCAGAGGGGGGUAGAAUUCCACGUGUGAGCAGUGAAAUGCGUAGAGAUGUGGAGGAAUACCGAUGGCGAAGGCAGCCCCCUGGGCAAGUACUGACGCUCAUGCACGAAAAGCGUGGGGGAGCAAAAC
This 430-nucleotide ribosomal RNA is filed under the name uncultured bacterium. Its description in RNAcentral is "partial 16S ribosomal RNA". It matches the Rfam family "Bacterial small subunit ribosomal RNA", at positions 355 to 774 of the family's 1533-position model. The record is from RNAcentral.